RNAcentral lists this ribosomal RNA (374 nucleotides) under uncultured Erysipelotrichaceae bacterium. RNAcentral describes it as "partial 16S ribosomal RNA". The record is from RNAcentral. Lineage: Bacteria; Bacillati; Bacillota; Erysipelotrichia; Erysipelotrichales; Erysipelotrichaceae.
CAUGUAGUUAGCCGUGACUUCCUCGCCGGGUACCAUCACUCAGAAAGCUUUCCACUCUUUCUGCCUUUUGUCCCCGGCAACAGAGCUUUACGAUCCGAAGACCUUCCUCGCUCACGCGGCAUUGCUCGUUCAGGGUUCCCCCCAUUGACGAAAAUUCCCUACUGCUGCCUCCCGCAGGAGUCUGGGCCGUGUCUCAGUCCCAGUGUGGCCGUCCGCCCUCUCAGGCCGGCUAUGCAUCGUCGCCUUGGUGAGUCCGUUACCUCUCCAACCAGCUAAUGCCACCGCAGGUCCAUCUGCAUGGCGGACUCUUCGUCCCCUUUACCAAAAAGAGAUGCCUCCUCUUUGCUCAUCCGGUAUCAGUCCUUCCGUUACAG